GAUGAACGCUGGCGGCGUGCCUAAUACAUGCAAGUCGAGCGAACAGACGAGGAGCUUGGUCCACUGACGUUACCGACGGACGGGUGAGUAACACGUGGAUAACCUACCUAUAAGACUUGGAUAACUUCGGGAAAGCGGAGCUACUACCGGAUAAUAUAUUGAACCGCAUGGUUCAAUAGUGAAAUACGGUUUUGCUGUCACUUAUAGAUGGAUCCGCGCCGCAUUAGCUAGUUGGUACGGUAACGGCUUACCAAGGCGACGAUGCGUAGCCGACCUGAGAGGGUGAUCGGCCACUCUGGAACUGAGACACGAUCCAGACUCCUACGGGCGGCAGCAGUAGGGAAUCUUCCGCGAUGGGCGAAAGCCUGACGGAGCAACGCCGCGUGAGUGAUGAAGGUCUUCGGAUCGUAAAACUCUGUUAUUAGGGAAGAACAAAUGUGUAAGUAACUAUGCACUUCUUGACGGUACCUAAUCAGAAAGCCCCGGCUAACUACGUG
Molecule: ribosomal RNA, 497 nt
Filed under: uncultured bacterium
Lineage: Bacteria
Description: partial 16S ribosomal RNA
Rfam family: Bacterial small subunit ribosomal RNA
Source: RNAcentral